AUUGAACGCUGGCGGCAUGCUUUACACAUGCAAGUCGAACGGUAACAGGUUGAGCUGACGAGUGGCGAACGGGUGAGUAAUGCAUCGGAACGUGCCCGAUCGUGGGGGAUAACACUUCGAAAGAAGUGCUAAUACCGCAUACGAUCUGAGGAUGAAAGCGGGGGACCGUAAGGCCUCGCGCGAUCGGAGCGGCCGAUGUCAGAUUAGGUAGUUGGUGGGGUAAAGGCUCACCAAGCCGACGAUCUGUAGCUGGUCUGAGAGGACGACCAGCCACACUGGGACUGAGACACGGCCCAGAAUCCUACGGGAGGCAGCAGUGGGGAAUUUGGGACAAUGGGCGCAAGCCUGAUCCAGCUAUGCCGCGUGCAGGAAGAAGGCCUUCGGGUUGUAAACUGCUUUUGUACGGAGCGAAAAGGCUCUCUCUAAUACAGGGGGCUCAUGACGGUACCGUAAGAAUAAGCACCGGCUAACUACGUGCCAGCCGCCGCAGUAA
This 493-nucleotide ribosomal RNA is filed under the name uncultured bacterium. RNAcentral's name for it is "partial 16S ribosomal RNA". It matches the Rfam family "Bacterial small subunit ribosomal RNA", at positions 30 to 523 of the family's 1533-position model. The record is from RNAcentral.